UUACAAGCUUUGAGAAAGAGGAGUAAAGAUUAUAAGAUAAUCAGAGAUAAGGGUUCUUGGCUGAAAAACCUUUUUUAUCGGAAAUCUUGAAGGUAGCUUUUGAGCUUCUUUACUGAAAUUUAGUAAGUAAAGACGGCAGCCAUGCCGUUAUGUAUAUGAGAGCCCAUGGUAGUGGGAAAAAAGGUGGUACCGCGAGUCUUCGUCCUUUUA
RNAcentral lists this non-coding RNA (210 nucleotides) under Clostridium amylolyticum. Its description in RNAcentral is "T-box sequence". It matches the Rfam family "T-box leader". Rfam says of the family: Uncharged tRNA acts as the effector for transcription antitermination of genes in the T-box leader family. Lineage: Bacteria; Bacillati; Bacillota; Clostridia; Eubacteriales; Clostridiaceae. The record is from RNAcentral.